RNAcentral lists this ribosomal RNA (1947 nucleotides) under human gut metagenome. RNAcentral describes it as "bacterial LSU rRNA". It matches the Rfam family "Bacterial large subunit ribosomal RNA", at positions 3 to 1983 of the family's 2925-position model. The record is from RNAcentral.
UCAAGCGAAGAAGGGCGCAGGGCGGAUGCCUUGGCACUGAGAGCCGAUGAAAGACGUGAUAAGCUGCGAUAAGCUUCGGGGAGGAGCAAAUAUCCUUUGAUCCGGAGAUCUCUGAAUGGGGAAACCCGGCUGUAUGGACUACAGUCAUCCAUAAGUGAAUCCAUAGCUUAUGGAAGGGAACCCGGGGAACUGAAACAUCUAAGUACCCGGAGGAAGAGAAAGAAACAUCGAUUCCGUAAGUAGCGGCGAGCGAACGCGGAAGAGCCCAAACCGUGAUGCGUGCAUCGCGGGGUUCGGACUGCAGAAGGGAUUCAGCAACGACAGGAGAACGGCUUUGGAACAGCCGGCCAGAGAGGGUGAGAGCCCCGUAUCCAAAGUCAGAGCUGACCUGGCAGGAUCCAGAGUACCACGGGACACGGGAAACCCUGUGGGAACGAGCGGAGACCACUCCGUAAGGCUAAAUACUACUCAGUGACCGAUAGCGUAUAGUACUGUGAAGGAAAGGUGAAAAGAACCCCGGGAGGGGAGUGAAAGAGAACCUGAAACCCUGUGUCUACAAGCUGUGGAAGCACCCUACGAGUGCAACCGCGUACUUUUUGUAGAACGGUCCGGCGAGUUAUGUGGUGUGGCAAGGUUAAGCACGGAAAGUGUGGAGCCGAAGGGAAACCAAGUCUUAACUGGGCGGUUAAGUCACAUAACAUAGACCCGAAACCGGGUGAUCUAUCCAUGUCCAGGUUGAAGCUGCUGUAAAAGGUGGUGGAGGACCGAACGCACAUCCGUUGAAAAGGGUGGCGAUGAGGUGUGGAUAGGGGAGAAAUUCCAAUCGAACUCGGAGAUAGCUGGUUCUCCUCGAAAUAGUUUUAGGACUAGCCUGUCAGGAGUCUGCUGGAGGUAGAGCACUGAAUUUUUGCGGGGGCGUCAAAGCCUACCAAUGAAUAUCAAACUCCGAAUGCCAGCCAGAUGCUCUGAUGGAGUCAGACUGCACGAGAUAAGUUGGGUAGUCAAAAGGGAAACAGCCCAGACCACCAGCUAAGGUCCCAAAGUGCGUGUUAAGUGGAAAAGGAUGUGGGAAUUCGAAGACAACUAGGAUGUUGGCUCAGAAGCAGCCAUUCAUUCAAAGAGUGCGUAACAGCUCACUAGUCGAGAGUUCCUGCGCCGAAAAUGUCCGGGGCUAAAACACGACACCGAAGCUGUGGAAUCAUGCUUGCAUGAUUGGUAGAGGAGCAUUCGCUGAGAGACGAAGCUGUACCGAAAGGAGCAGUGGAUUUCAGUGAAGAGAGAAUGCCGGAAUGAGUAGCGAGAGAUAGGUGAGAAUCCUAUCGGCCGAAUAUCUAAGGUUUCCAGAGUAAAGCUGAUCUGCUCUGGGUAAGUCGGGGCCUAAGGCGAGGUCGAAAGACGUAGUCGAUGGAUAACAGGUUGAAAUUCCUGUACUAUCCUGUAACAGAACUGUGGGGACACAGGCAGAGAGCGUGAGCCGGGAAUGGAAAGACCGGUACAAGCGAGGUAGGAGAAGAGUUGGCAAAUCCGCUCUUCAAUCUGAAGACGUGAUGUGGACCGAAAAGAAGUAGGGAAGCACGUGAGCUGACUGUCAAGAAAAGCCGCUAUUGUUUGCAGGAUACCCGUACCGUAAACCGACACAGGUGGAUGAGGAGAGAAUCCUAAGGCCGACGGGAGAAGCAUUGUUAAGGAACUCGGCAAAAUGACUCCGUAACUUCGGGAGAAGGAGUGCCAGUAAGAUGGCCGCAGAGAAUUGGCCCAAGCAACUGUUUAGCAAAAACACAGGUCUAUGCAAAACCGAAAGGUGAGGUAUAUGGGCUGACGCCUGCCCGGUGCUGGAAGGUUAAGAGGAGAUGUUAGAGCAAUCGAAGCAUUGAAUUUAAGCCCCAGUAAACGGCGGCCGUAACUAUAACGGUCCUAAGGUAGCGAAAUUCCUUGUCGGGUAAGUUC